UCCAGAACCAGUCUCAGCAUGAAGAUCCUUUACCUGUUGUUUGCAUUUCUUUUCCUUGCAUUCCUGUCUGAACCAGGGAAUGCUGACCACAAGUGUCGUGAUGCAGGAGGAAUGUGCUCUCUCACUAUGUGUGUUCCUGGCACUGACCUUGGGCAGCAGGACUGUGUGUCUCAAUUGAGGUGCUGUAAACGCAUAAAGGGAAAAUAAUGCAUCUCCAUCUACGACCAUGGAUACCUUUAAGAUAUGGCCAAUGACCCAAGAUUACCACCUGCUGUUGCUUUAUCUUUCUUUAUAUAAAUCAAAUUGCUACCCAUCAAACUCUAAAACAUUUGUGCAUUGAAGUAAAAUUUGUCAAAUAU
Crotalus tigris (Tiger rattlesnake) is the source of this 359-nucleotide long non-coding RNA. RefSeq lists it as uncharacterized. The record is from RefSeq and is a predicted model, not a curated record. The transcript is spliced from 3 exons. NCBI's taxonomy places the organism in Eukaryota, Metazoa, Chordata, Lepidosauria, Squamata, Viperidae.